RNAcentral lists this ribosomal RNA (459 nucleotides) under uncultured bacterium. Its description in RNAcentral is "partial 16S ribosomal RNA". It matches the Rfam family "Bacterial small subunit ribosomal RNA", at positions 338 to 795 of the family's 1533-position model. The record is from RNAcentral.
CCUACGGGUGGCAGCAGUGAGGAAUAUUGGUCAAUGGGCGCGAGCCUGAACCAGCCAAGUCGCGUGAGGGAAGACGGUCCUAUGGAUUGUAAACCUCUUUUGUCGGGGAGCAAAAGACGCCACGCGUGGCGUUCCGAGAGUACCCGAAGAAAAAGCAUCGGCUAACUCCGUGCCAGCAGCCGCGGUAAUACGGAGGAUGCGAGCGUUAUCCGGUUUUAUUGGGGUUAAAGGGGGCGCAGGCGGAAGAUCAAGUCAGCGGUAAAAUUGAGAGGCUCAACCUCUUCGAGCCGUUGAAACUGGUUGUCUUGAGUGAGCGAGAAGUAUGCGGAAUGCGUGGUGUAGCGGUGAAAUGCAUAGAUAUCACGCAGAACUCCGAUUGCGAAGGCAGCAUACCGGCGCUCAACUGACGCUGAUGCACGAAAGUGUGGGUAUCGAACAGGAUUAGAUACCCCAGUAGUC